This 93-nucleotide microRNA precursor is filed under the name Cricetulus griseus (Chinese hamster). Its description in RNAcentral is "mir-344". Lineage: Eukaryota; Metazoa; Chordata; Mammalia; Rodentia; Cricetidae. The record is from RNAcentral.
CAGACCAGUGUACAGUUGGGCUGUGGUUAUAUCCAGCACCAACUGAGACCUGAGAUAUAGCCAGAGCCUGACUGGUAAGAAACCCUACUGCUG